AAUCACAGUAGUCGGGACUAUAAAUACACUGGCGUGGUGUUACGCUACAUACUGAGCUGAGCUGCUGAGGUCAAUUUGCCAUCCCUUCCUCACCUACAAGCAGCGAGACGUUCCUGCUGCUGCCUUCUUUGGGGAUUGAGGAUGCCUCUGGAUGAUGGCGAUUGUUCUGUCGAGAAAUGGAGUGCGGAGCGCCUCGGGAAAUGACAAGGAAUUCUUCUUAACACCAGCGGACUAUUUCAUGACAAGUUGACCAACAUCUGACACAUCUGACGGAUAACGCGCUGCACUUCGCUUGUCCGAUGGAGAUUUCCCUCAGGAGCCACACAUCGGGCCCUAACCGCCCGUAAUGGCAUCUUCCCACCGCGCGCGUUUUCGCCUCUCGAACGAUAAUCGCUGAUUUGUCUGCGACCGAGCGCAGGCGCUGCUGGCGAUUAUCCUCAACCGCCGCGUGGAGGACAUCUUGAGAUGGAUUGAUGUUUCUCGGGAAGAUGAAGCUGUCACUGGGUCCAGGCGGAGGAAAAUCUGCUGCAGUAAAGCCAGUGGAAAGAGUUUGGUGCCCCACUUCAGUACGGCGCUUCUUGUGUUCGGACCAAAGUAAAAAAACGAAAUAAAAACCAAAUAUAUACAUAUAUAUAUAUAUAUAUAGGCGCACUGGGGGAAUUCUCGGGCUGGUACUCGGCAAAAUCCGACUUGGGAAUCCGCCCGAAUGAGCCUCAAUCGGAAGCGGCCAUCUUCGGCAGAUGAGCGAUGAUCAAUUGGGAAAAGGCGGUGCAAGGACUUGUUCGUAACCUACUGGCUGAAUCCAGACCGAAACUCCAGGGGGCGCUACUGUGUAUUUGUAUUGUUUCUCAUGCUGCUGUAUGAUGUUUGCUUCCCCUUUGGGUGGGGGUCAUAUUGGGAGCCUUGAAAUGCGUCGACAUUCACUGGAAUGCAUUUGUGCUGAAAGAGAGGGCCCAGACCGCCUUGAUAGUCUCCUGAGUGGAACUGCGAUGAAGCAAAAUAUACCCUCGCUUGUGUCGUGUCACACUUGUCGUGUGGGAGGGCGGGCACGCCAGACCCCCGAAUAUUUGUGGAGUGGGCAGGCUGUUCAAAAAGUCGUUUGUGGUUCGCUCUUUCCCUUUUGGCACCUCAAUAAAAAGAACAAUUCUCGA
Molecule: long non-coding RNA, 1151 nt
Organism: Phyllopteryx taeniolatus (common seadragon)
Lineage: Eukaryota; Metazoa; Chordata; Actinopteri; Syngnathiformes; Syngnathidae
Exons: 3
Source: RefSeq, a predicted model, not a curated record